GCUCGAACUUAUGAACUGUGAGAUCACGACCUGAGCCAAUGCCGGACACUUAACUGACUGAGCCACCCAGCCACCCCAAUGACGUUUCUUUUUAAAAAGUAGUUGUGAAUUUUCCCUUUGAGCAUUAUUUGUACAAAGGUUGUCAGAUUUAUGAACACAAAAUCAGUUUUAAGCCAAAAGAUAAACAGGAGGGCUCAUUGUUGAAUUAUUCAUCAGCUAUUUCAGUACCUCCCAUGUGCAUAGCACUGUGUUAGGAGCUAUGUGGAUGCUGAGCUAGAAUGUGGGCUCCAUGAGUGGAAAAGAGGAGAGGGAUUCUGUCUACUUUGUUCAGUGCUAUAUUACAGCACCAGGACAGUGCUUGGCACACAGUAGGUGCUCAAGAAAUAUUUGUGGAGUGAAUGAAAAUGUGUUCAUCGUUUUUACCAGUUAGGGUUUGGUUCAUCAGUGAGUGACAGAAACUUCAAAAUAACAAAGACUAGGGGCACCUGGGUGGCUCAGUCAGUUAAGUGUCCAACUCUUGGUUUCAGCUCUGGACAUGAUCUCACUGUUUCGUGGGUUCGAGCCUCAUGUUGGGCUCUGUGCUGGCAGUGCAGAGCCUACUUGGGAUUCUCUGUCUCCCUUUCUCUCUGCCCCUCUCCCACUCGUGCUGUCUCUGUCUCUCUCGGGAUAAAUAAAUAAGCUUAAAAAAAUGUUUUUUAAGUAACAAAGACUCAAGCUGGACAGAAAUCUAUUUCUUACAUGAAAUUAAUCUAGAGGAAAACAACCCAGGCAGUUAGGGAAGGCUCAUAAUGUCAUCAGGGCCCAGUGUAUCCAUGUCUUACUGCUCUGUAUUCUCUGGCAUCUGACUUUCACUUCAGGGUCCCAGCUGACUGCUUGAGCUCCAGCCAUCACAUCAACAUUUCCAAGAAAAAGGAGAAAAGAAGAGCACGCUUCCUUUCUUGAAAGGCACUUCCUGAAUUUAGGAGAACUGCUUACUUACAGGAGCAGACAGGGAGCAGAAGGCUUGAAAGAAGGUCAUCAGAGAAGAAUUGGAGGUCCACUGCAGCGUCCUCCUCAGCAGAGAAACACGAACUCCUUGAAGGUGUGGUGAGGGAGAGGGAGUGCGCUCAAGAGCCUUCACCCGAGUCUGGAUUGGGGCUUCGCUGCUUUCUUGCUCUGGGCUUUUUGAUCGUGUCUGAUCACCUCCAAGGGAACGUUUGGAGCCUUGUCGAGGUAGGCUUUGAGCAGCAAGGACCUCAUCUGGGCCUCAGCUGUAUCCACAACAGCCCAUUCGCUGAGAGUACCAAGGAGUGUGUAUAUGCAAAUAUGGUGUUGUCUAUGAGGAUGCGCGAGACCUACCUACUCUGUGAACACCACAUCUCUGAAGUAAGAAGCUCUCACCAUCGAUCUCUUAGAUCACCUUGCCAAUGUUCCACCAACGUAAGUGAAUCGCAAGUUUAACUCGGGUUUGGUUAUUAAAAUGAUUAGAUUCUGUUGUAAAAAGUGAACUUGAA
Felis catus (domestic cat) is the source of this 1493-nucleotide long non-coding RNA. RefSeq lists it as uncharacterized. NCBI's taxonomy places the organism in Eukaryota, Metazoa, Chordata, Mammalia, Carnivora, Felidae. The transcript is spliced from 5 exons. The record is from RefSeq and is a predicted model, not a curated record.